UUCCUAUAUCAUAUAUUUGUGCCACCUUCUCCAUCAAUCACCACCAAUAUCCAUCUCCAUCCAUUUGCGCCACCACCACGACACCCCUUCUUUCCCAUCGAUAUUUCUGUGCAAUAGAGAAGAUCGACUCUAUGAUUUUGUGCCACAUUCAAUUAUGAUGAUGCUCUUGAUCAUGAUCUCCCUCCAUCACAACGUCAGAAAGUGAAACAUAAGCCAUGAAUCACAUGUUUCGGUCCUUCGAGGAAGCUUUUGAAGUUUUAUUGGUUACCAAGUCAUUUUUUGAAGAUCCGCUGUUAAGGAUAUCAAAGGCAGCAUAGGAAAGAUAAAUUGAGUUGAGAAGCAUGGCAAGAAAGUACUUGGAAUAACAUAUUGCUAAAUAGAGUAAUGAUAUAUCUUCCUAAUAGAUUAACCUAAUUAUCCUCCCAAUCAUAUGAUGAAGCCACAUGGAAAAAUCAAGGGGGUGAUGUAUGAAAGAUAAUGAGUGGAUUACACAUGUCAAAAUGUUGUGGUAUUAGGAGGAUUAUUAGGCUAAAGUUUUAGGAGGAUCAAUCAUUUUCCAUACAUGUCUAUGUAAUCCAUUUUCUUUUAAGCACAAACUAAAAACUAUCGGUUUGUUUGUAAGAAAAGCCAUUUUGGUAGCCUUUUUUGUAAACAUAUUUGUAGAUUAUUCAUGUCAAAUUAUAAUGUAUCAACAACCAAAAUAAUAUAGUUAUAUAUUUUAGUUUGCAA
Erigeron canadensis is the source of this 729-nucleotide long non-coding RNA. RefSeq lists it as uncharacterized. The record is from RefSeq and is a predicted model, not a curated record. The transcript has 5 exons. Lineage: Eukaryota; Viridiplantae; Streptophyta; Magnoliopsida; Asterales; Asteraceae.